RNAcentral lists this transfer-messenger RNA (381 nucleotides) under uncultured Acetatifactor sp. It matches the Rfam family "transfer-messenger RNA". From Rfam's summary of the family: Bacterial tmRNA, also known as 10Sa RNA or SsrA, is named for its dual tRNA and mRNA-like properties. Its role is to liberate the mRNA from a stalled ribosome. The record is from RNAcentral. Lineage: Bacteria; Bacillati; Bacillota; Clostridia; Lachnospirales; Lachnospiraceae.
GGGGUAGUAAAGGUUUCGACAGGGGUCUUGCAGCUGGAGAAGCUAUCCGUUGCGACACGUUAAUCGCACAAUUAAACUAAACGCUGAAAAUAAUAAUCAGUUAGCAUUUGCAGCGUAAGCUGUGAAUGACGCUGCCUCAGGCAGCUUGUCCGCUCCGGGGCACUCACACUUCGGAAUCCGGGCAUCAAAGAUGUGAGAAACGACAUGCGUUAAGCUUUGCGCGUAUGGGCGUAUGAUGAAGCUACUGAAUAUGGCAGGCUGUUCGUUUCCUGCCAUAGGAGGGAACAGGCCGGAGUAAGACCGGCUAAAGAUAACGGACUAUGAUAGUAGAAGUACAGGGAAUGGGCUUUUGGACACGGGUUCGACUCCCGUCUACUCCAU